GGUACGAAAUCCCUAUGUCGGCAAAUACGAUUUCCAGCGAUGAGCCCUUACACUCAACUUCCUUCUUUGAGCAUCCACUUAUCUCAUGUAAAAUCAAUGCAUCAAAUUCUAUUUAAUUCAAUCACAUAUCUUAUUCUGUAGAGUAUCGUCAUACCCGACUUGCAAGCCAUCAAUAUCACAUCAUUCUUUCGUGUAAUCAUUAUAUUCAUUAUAUUUCAACAUAACAACCCUCUUAUUUCAAGUCAAAAAUCAUAACUAUUUUCAAAAUAUUUCAUGUCAU
Molecule: long non-coding RNA, 280 nt
Filed under: Capsicum annuum
Lineage: Eukaryota; Viridiplantae; Streptophyta; Magnoliopsida; Solanales; Solanaceae
Description: long non-coding RNA (CANN_LNC002887)
Source: RNAcentral